AAAUCCAGAGAUAGAGGGUUUCCCUUUGGGGGACAGAGUGACAGGUGGUGCAUGGUUGUCGUCAGCUCGUGUCGUGAGAUGUUGGGUUAAGUCCCGCAACGAGCGCAACCCUUGAUCUUAGUUGCCAGCAUUUAGUUGGGCACUCUAAGGUGACUGCCGGUGACAAACCGGAGGAAGGUGGGGAUGACGUCAAAUCAUCAUGCCCCUUAUGACCUGGGCUACACACGUGCUACAAUGGAUGGUACAAAGGGCUGCAAGACCGCGAGGUCAAGCCAAUCCCAUAAAUCCGUUCUCAGUUCGGAUUGUAGUCUGCAACUCGCCUACAUGAAGCUGGAAUCGCUAGUAAUCGCGGAUCAGCAUGCCGCGGUGAAUACGUUCCCGGGCCUUGUACACACCGCCCGUCACACCACGAGAGUUUGUAACACCCGAAGUCGGUGGGGUAACCUUUAUGGAGCCAGCCGCCUAAGGUGGGCCGAAGG
Molecule: ribosomal RNA, 479 nt
Filed under: Priestia flexa
Lineage: Bacteria; Bacillati; Bacillota; Bacilli; Caryophanales; Bacillaceae
Description: bacterial SSU rRNA
Rfam family: Bacterial small subunit ribosomal RNA
Source: RNAcentral